RNAcentral lists this ribosomal RNA (251 nucleotides) under uncultured bacterium. Its description in RNAcentral is "partial 16S ribosomal RNA". It matches the Rfam family "Bacterial small subunit ribosomal RNA", at positions 524 to 776 of the family's 1533-position model. The record is from RNAcentral.
UACGUAGGGUGCAAGCGUUAAUCGGAAUUACUGGGCGUAAAGCGUGCGCAGGCGGUUUUGUAAGUCAGAUGUGAAAUCCCCGGGCUUAACCUGGGAACUGCGUUUGAAACUACAAGGCUAGAGUGUGGCAGAGGGGGGUGGAAUUCACGUGUAGCAGUGAAAUGCGUAGAGAUGUGGAGGAACACCGAUGGCGAAGGCAGCCCCUGGGUUAACACUGACGCUCAGGCACGAAAGCGUGGGGAGCAAACAGG